UCCCGCUCCCAAAAUCCCAAAACUGAAUCGUCAUUUUCAUCAUCUCUCUAUCGAAAAUGGCGCCGCCAAUGGAAGUGUUUGACGGCGGAGGUGCUGUGAUAAGGCGAAUAAUCCGAACCUUCCGCUCUCAUCUCAGACCUCUUCCACAAAUCCCAACCUAUGUGCACCCAGGUAAAUUGGAAACGAGAUGAAUACAGAGGUUAAACGAGCAUCCCACACCCAAAAGGUUCCCCACAUAGGUCUUCACCUAAACCCCCCAGUAACUAAGGUAAACGACGUAAAAAAAAAGCACCCAUUUCUAUGAUUUUCGAAAGUCUGAAGAUGAAUAGUGGUUCCAAAGUCUAUGUUUGACAAAAUUUCAUUUCCUAUAGAAUCUGAUUCAAACAUAGGUGGAAUUAGUUGAAUGACAACGAUUGCCACAUAUCCAUAUCACUCAUGAUAUAUUAGUGUAUGGUUAGAAGGUAAGUUUGUGUUUGGAGUUAUAGUAAAUUUGGUGAAAUUACCGAAAUAUGUAACUUUAUCAAAUUCACCGAAAUUUCAAAUAUGCGCACUAAGAUUUCCAGGGUGGUGCUAAAGUUCUAUCAGGAAGCUAUUAGCUUCAAAUUCACAUUUAAUAUGAUUUGAUUGGAUGCAUGUGUAAAAAACUUUUACACCGUCAAUGUAUAGCAAUUAAACUCUAUAUAUUUCCCUUUUCUGUUAUGAGUUUUAUAUUUUGAUGAAUAUGAAAAUCUUUGGCUUAAAAUAUCACAUUAUAACAAUUCUCAAUUAAUGAAUACCUGUGAGUUCUGCACUUUUGCUUUGAUUUUGGACCGAUGAGUUAUGGCAGCAGCAGUUAUUGCUUCAGCUUGAUCUAAAGGCACUCCUUGUCCCUAAAGUGUCAACCUGCACAAUACACAACAACAAAGGAUGCAAAAAUUAAGCCAAAAUGAAUCAGUACAUUCAAAAUAGUUAAGUUUGUACAUGUUUGCAAUUUGGUUCUGCUUUAAGAACUUCUGGUGCUGAACCUGUAAGUGUUAAAUUUUUAUUUCUUUGAAGUUAGCCUUGUUGUAGAAGAAGUUACUUUAGUGAAGGUUUAAAUGAAUGGUAAUGAAUCAUGAUUCACUUCUCUAAUAAUUUGUAACCAUUUUCAACUAAGAGUAAAUUAGAUCCACAGGCUAGUCAUAGGUUGAGAAAUGGUAAUGUUGAGUAAAUUAUUAUAAGCAAAUAUUCAUUUUUAAUAUUUAUUGAAUAACUGAUGUAACCAGAUACAUCAAUUAUUCAAUGAAUCUGAAAAGCAACUUUUUAGUUGUAAUAGUGGCCGGAGGGAGUAUAACCUAAGCUUCUUCUUUUUCGUUUUUUUUGACACACCUAAACUUCUUUUUAUCUCUCUUUUUUUAUUUUAAUCUUGUUUCUUUAGGCAAUUUCUAUUAGUUGCUUUGACAAGUGUGACUAUCUACCUUCAAUCUUAGUUUUUUUGUUCUAACAUGUGAAAGUAUUGCAACGAUGGUAAAUGUGUUUAUCUGAAAUGCGAAAAUUAUUUCUUUGUUGUAUCUGAAAUGAUUUUUCAUUUCUUAUACUUAAGAAGUUCCAGUACUUAUAAUUUUCUUAUUUUAGUUUCUACAUUGUUCUAUUCUGUUUCCAAUCUUUGCUUACAUUAUUGUUGUGACGUAUAUUGUUGAUCUAGCAUAUAAGAGCUAAGGCCUAAGUCACUACUACUUAAAAUUUGAUGAAAUAAUCCCCAAAAAUGAAUCUAAACCCCAAGAUGAAUCAGAUAUAUUCUGGUAGUUUAAUAAUGCAAAAUUCAGAUUAGGUUAGUAAAAUUCUGGAUCAAAAGUAUAAGUCCUCAUGUUGUUACUUGCGUUGUUUAGAAGCUUAUGUUAUUAUUUAGUUCACUAAGAAAUUCAAUGAUUUUUAACUUUUAAGUUGAUUUGCAAAUUAUUUGUAGAUUAUGUAACUAGUUCAUAUUUGAUUUUGCAUACCUUUGGAUUACUAGUUAGAUUAUGUAAAUAGUUCAGAUUUGAUUCUUAUGCACUAAGAAGAUAACUAUGAUACAUUAACACUCUCACUGGCUUUAGAAUGAGGUUGAGUAUCUAUAGGAAAUGCAAUUUUGUCAAACAUAGACUUUGUAUGAUAUAUUUAGUUUGUCUGGUUAUGACAAAGAUUUGCGAAUUGGUUCUGCUUUAAGAACUUCGUGCUGAACCUGUAACUGUUAAAUUAGUUUUAUUUUUUGAUGAAUAUUAAAAUCUUUGUAUUUUGAGUUGUUUUUAUGCUUCUGGUGUUCUUACUUAGUUCAUUCAUUUCUUUUUAACUUACUACUAUAUUUCGAUGUCAGGUUUGAAAGAAAAGGGAACAUUCUCAACUUGCUGUUAAGUAUUGUCAUGAGAAUGGAUUCAAAUUUUUCAAUGCAUGAGAAAAUACUCGAUCUAUUUGAUUUUGUCCUCUCUCUGUUCUCUGAUGGAUUUCGUCCACAACUUACUACUAUAUUUCCAUGUCAGUUUUGAAAGAAAAGGGAACUUUCUCAACUUGUUGUGAAGUAUUGUCAUGAGCUGUUACCAUCUGGAAGUAAUGCUUCAUGUUUGUUAGUGAAAGAUUAGAGUAGAAGAAAAAUGCUAAGGAGAAGGCUUUAUGUUCUCUCGACUUCAAUCAUCAGAAGUUCGAUUCAUAAUUUGUUGCUUUCUAAAUAUCGUUAAUUUGAUUCAUCUUCAUCAAUGGUCACUCACAGUGAUUGAGCUUUGCAUUUAGUUGAGGUAUAUAUCUGUACAAUCGCCGCGUUUGCUAAACUCACCGACACAUUUCAUAUUUUUUCAGGUUAGUUUUUUUGUUUUAACAUGUGAAAGUAUUGCAUUGAUGGUAAAUGUGUUUAUCUGAAAUGCAAAAAUAAUUUCUUUGUAGUAUUUAAAGGUAAUGUCUCCACAUUUCUUCUAGAACUUAUAAUUUUCUUAUUUUACUUUGAUGUACCACAUGUAAAACAUGUCAAUUUCUUUGUAUAUUCAAAAGGAAAAUCAC
Molecule: long non-coding RNA, 2985 nt
Organism: Trifolium pratense (red clover)
Lineage: Eukaryota; Viridiplantae; Streptophyta; Magnoliopsida; Fabales; Fabaceae
Exons: 4
Source: RefSeq, a predicted model, not a curated record